Long non-coding RNA from Phycodurus eques (leafy seadragon), 1078 nucleotides. RefSeq lists it as uncharacterized. The record is from RefSeq and is a predicted model, not a curated record. The transcript has 3 exons. Lineage: Eukaryota; Metazoa; Chordata; Actinopteri; Syngnathiformes; Syngnathidae.
GUAACCUCUGCCAACUUCGAAAACAACUGAAAUAAAUGGAAACCUUUUUGGUACCUUUUUUUUCCAGGCAACAGGGCAGGUGCUUGAGCCUAGCAGCUAUGUGUGCACAUGUCUAACUUAAUACCCGUUUGGAGAGUUACAUGUCCCAAAUCAACCUGAAAGAUUGAGACUCUCCAAAGCUGGUCCAACAAGACCUUCGACCUCCGUGAGCCGGUUCACUGCCAUACUCAGCCACUGGAGGUAGACCAGCUGAGAAAAGAAAAGGCCUUGCCUUGAGCCAAAGAAGCUGUGUGAGGGAUGACAGAGGCGAAAGGUCAGAAAUGCGGUUGUUGGACACGUCCAUGAACCGAAGGUGAAUGUAAUUGCUGAUCGCAGCCAUGUCACUGAGUCUUCUAUCGAGUACAAGCACGAAAAUAGGAGGUUUAGGACUGAACAAAUGUGCUAUUGUUGUUCAUUUUGCUUUCAUACUUGUCCUUUAGGACGACUUUAAUGAACGCAUGUCUUAAUCCAUUUCCUGUUCGGCACAGCAAAGACAGACCGGGAAUUAUAAUAUCUUGAUCCAAAGGGCGAACCUGUGAAUGAAACAAAGGAAAGGGAUGCCACACAGAUUUCAAGGGGAAAGUCACACUGAACAACUUAUUAACAAUUUGUAGCUCAGUCAUGGAAUUAACGGGCCCAAACCUGCUUAAAACCCGUCACAUUUACUAAAGGAAUUUCAUAUUUCAUGAAACAUACAGACAUGUUGACUUGGACAGUUGAUAGAGAUAGAGAAGGGAAGGGAACUGCUUGAAAGGCAAUACUUGUAGGGAGGUCAUCUACAGUUUUACACAUGACGCUAAUUUCAUAUUUAAGAAGCAAACAUGGGUGCGUAGUGUCCAAUGUGCAUUUCCACUCAUGAUCCAUUUGUUAACCGCUUAUCACAGGGAAGAAGGUGUCCCAAAAGGCCAAAAAGAUGUCUACAUCCUGGUCCCACGCUAUUUAGGCUGUAGUUAGGGAGGCAUGUGUGUCUAUUGUGGUGUAUCUCCGGUUUUGGUCAAUAAAGAGAACUUCGUUGACAGCCAGCUCGCAAAUGUCAGAU